CAUAAAAUUUACAUCACAAUACUUAACAGCCUCUCUCCAAUAGGCCAACCAUCCCAACAUCCCCAACUACUUUCUCUAAAGAAUGACACAGCUCUUGUCAGACUCUCUCCUCACACCUCAUUCUUCAUACCUCACAUCUUCAUUCUUCCCUCCCCUUUCUUAGAUUGUAUUACUGAUUCAAGACAACUCAAGACAAUAAUCCUCAAGAGUCAUCACUGGCCUUUCCACAGAUUUUAGAAACAGCAUGGAGGAAAGGUGAGGAAGAACAUCAAUGGCAAUAUCUCCAAUAUAUCUCUAAUUCCUCUUCUGUCACUUAAGGGCUAUAGAGAACACUGAAAACAUCUAGUAAUCAUUAUUCUGCAUCUAUGGCCUGCAAAAGAAGACUUCUAAAGUCAGGUGGGGAAAACAUGAUCCAAAGUUGGAAUGCUUGGCUCAAAGUCUAAAUGUAAAGCUGCUUCUGGAUAUAAAAAAACAUGUGAAUCCUAGGAGAAGAGUUGCUACCUUCAGAGGAUAAGAAGUGUGACAAUUUUGGAAACUCUGAUUGGCCCCUCUGAAGAAGAGUGGAGACAGGAAACCACCAUAAAAAGGCCACAAAAACCUUCAGCUAGGAGGCUGGUUAAAAGUUGAGUCUCAUAGAGAGUAUCUUCUGGAGAUAGUCUUCGAGGGAACUUCAUUGGCAACUCUGACUCCUGGACUACUUGGUUAGGUGAGUGAAAAGCUUACUCCCUUCCUAGUUUCCUAAGACACUAGCUUCCAUCUUAGAGGAGGCUACAUGACUACUCACUACCGACCCACCUGGCUGAAGGUUUCCCCUCUAUUUUUUGGUAAAUAAACUGCAACCAACCAUUAAAUUUAACCUUUACAUUUCUGGCAAUUAUAUACUAGUCAUACUCUAUCAUCUCUGGUGUAAAUAUCUCUGGUACUUCUUUCUUGGCCCCUCCAAGUUCUUAUCUCCAUACUCCUUUGGCUCAAUAUUUUAUACAGCUCUAAGCAGAGUGCAUUCAGAAACCCACUGAGAAAGCAAAUAAUAAUAUAUCAAUUAAAUUUGUUUUUUUUUAAUCACAAUUCAAAUGACCACUGCUACCAGAUAUAUUCACCAUGGUAUUCCUGUAAAAAAAAUAAAAGCCUUAUAAAGUUUGACAGAUUGGGAAAACCAAGCCCCUUGCUUUAAAAACUCAUUAUUUACAAACUUCCUUUAAAAGGAGGCAGCUAAGUGGCUGAGCCUGGUGUCAGGAAGACCUAAUUUCAAAUCUGCCUUCUGACAUAUUCCUAGUUGUGUGACCCUGGACAAACCACAAGCCUGACAAAAGAAUCCACUGGAGAAAGAAAUGGCAAACCACUCCAGUAUCCUUGUCAAGAAAACCCCAUGGAUAGCUACGGUUCAUAACAUCAGGAAGGAGUCAAACAUGAGUAAACAACAACCACCUAAAAAACAGGUCUUUUGCUUCCAUACAAAUUAGAGAUAAGAACUCAAUCUAAAGAUUUCACCAGCAUUGGUAACUUCUUAAUUAGGAAAUACCCUGUACCAAUGCUGGUUGACCCAUAGGGUCUUGGUGGGGGCACUGAGAAUAGCUGAGUGAUUUGCCCAGGGUCAGGAUGCCAGUAAGGUUCAGAGAUGAGAUCUGAACCCAAGUCUUCAACGGCAGGCCCACUAUAUCCACUGUGUGGAAAAAGGAGAGAAAGGGAGAGAAGAGGGAGGUGAGGGUGGAGGAAAGAGGGAGGAACCAAUGGAAAUCAUUCACUCACUCUGGGUUAAAUGACCCACUAUACUGAAGGCACUGGGUAGUCUACGCUUAAACACUAUAAAAGAUCCUCCACUUGAAGGACCUCCUUUACUGGCCUAGGGUCACUGCUGUUUGGUACAAAGUGGACCAGGAACUGAGAGAAGCACGGGGCCGGAGAGGGUCAAGGGCAAGGCGGAGCCAAGUGCACACACAACCCCCCGGGGGUAAGGGAAGUGUUGAGGGGAGGGGAGGGUCGUUAGCCUAGCAUCCAAGCCGGUAGGUAGCAAGAACCCGGGCCUUGACAAUUCCAGAAUCCAAGCACCCAGAUUUGCCAAGAUCGGACCUCUGGCUCGGGCUGCGGUCAAGUGGCACCUGCCAAGGUUUGGGGUGAGGGGGCUAAACAGGGACUGCAGCUCGCUGGCCCGAGGGUCUCGUAACGCAAAAGUCCCACCGAGCGCGUUCUCUCUCCUUUUCCCACCCGCUGCCGCCGUCCCGAAAGAAGAACCGAGUAGCGAAGCUCUCACCUGGGCCCAAAGGCAGCUUCGUUGUCUCUGCCGCCGCCGUAGACGUGGGGGAGUACAGGAGCAGGGGUACUUUCCUGCUGCACCCCUCCACUCUCUUCCCUUCACCACACAACACAGACCUCGUCCGCUCCUUCCUUGUUACAAUCGAACUUGAAGUGAGGCGGAAGCUUGAGGAGCAGCAGUCUACUGCAAUCGCCGAGAAGAAAGCCCAAGGGUAGGCGGGGCUAAAUUGACUUGGGGGCGGGACUUGGGAUCCCAGCAUGCAACCUCUCCCAAGCUAGGUUGUAGAACCACUCGCGGUUACUAUUGUGGGGCUGUUUGAAAGCUGGCGCCAGAGCCGGCGGGAAGUUCAGCUCACUCGACCAUUGGUGGAAGUGUAAGCCAAUCGGAGUAUGCUGGCCGGAGGGGCGGGUUGAUGGGUUACCUAGACGCCCAAAGUCUGUGUGAGUAGUUUUUUUGCAAAUGAGAUUCACAGAUUCAGAGGUUUUCCAGGUCCAAAUGUAGACUCCUUAAGGGCAACAUACCCAACGCCUAACACAAUUCUGGUCACAUGGUGUUGUGUAUGCCAAUGAGUGCUUGUUGAUUAACUGAAGCAAUCGGGGUUAAGUGACUUGUCACACAGGGUCACACAGCUAAGUAAAUACCUGAGGUCAGAGUUAAAUUCAGGUCUUUCUGACUCCAGGUCCUACCCUCUCUCCACUGCAUCACACAGCUGCCUGGACUUUAAACACAUCUGUCGCAGAUAUGGUGAGGAGAUUGCUUCAGAUAAACACUGCUUAAGAAGAGACCAACUGACUCAGGUCAAAAAAACAGCAGAUCAAAGUUUCAGCAGCACAGUGAGUAAAAACUCUGUUCCUGGAGUCAGGAAGACCUAUCUUUCUGGCUCAAAUCUGGCCUCAGACACUUACUAGUUCUGUGACUCAUGGCAACUUACCACUGUUUGCCUUGGUUUCUUCAUCUGUAAAAUGAGCUGGAGAAAGAAGCAAGAAAUCAUUCUGGUGCCAAACCCACCACACCCUGUUAGGUGCAAGCUCAAGAUGGUCAGGAAGGAGAGGGGGAGGCCUGCUUUGGGUGCAAGCUCAAGAAGGUCACACCGUAGGUGAAGGGCCCCUCCUGUUUUUACAUUCGCUGUUAACCAAAAUGCUGACUCCUAAUGCUGUCAGUAAAAGACACUAAAAUUGCAAAAGCCUUUGAAAGGACAGCAAUAAUAAUAGACUUACCAUCCAAAGUGAUCUUCUUUUGCAUUCACUAGCCUGAUUAGCACUUGUCACUAAUUAAGAACCGCCUUUGUGAAAGAUAUGAACAUCUUUUUUUUUUCUGUAUCACUGUCACUAUGUCAUAAGAUUUCUCUCUAUUUUAAAAAAAAAAAAGUCAUCUUCUACGGGGUCUCUGGUUCUGAUGGGACCAGGGUCCGGCUUUAUUGUGAGGUGAACCUCCUCUCGAUAAACCUAUUAUUUAGCUUGGAGUUCUGUAUUGGUGUGUUAAAUUUUCACCACACUAUUAAAGUGGCUAACAUGACCAAAAAGGAAAAUGAUAAAUGUUUGAUGGGAUGUGAGAAAACUGGGACACUAACGAACUGUGGGUAGAACUGUGAGCUGAUACAACCAUUCUAGAGAGCAAUAUGGAACCAUGCCAAAAGAGCCAUAAAACCAUGCAUAUACCCUUUGACCCAGUAAUAUCACUACUGGGUUUGUAUCCCAAAGAGAUCAGAAAUAGGGGACAAGGACCUACUUGUACAAAAAUAUUUUUAGCAGCUCUUUUACAAGCUGUGAUAUAUGGUUGUAAUGGAAAACUAUUGUGCCAUAAAUGAUGCUCAGGAUGAGUUCAGAAAAAUCUAGAAAGACUUAUAUGAACUGCAAAUAUGCAAGUAAAACGAGCAGAACCAGGAGAACAGUGUAUACAGCAACAGAAAUACUGUACAGUGAUCAACUGUCAAAGGCUAAGCUAUUAUCAGCAAAACAAGAUUCUAAGAUAACUCCAGGGACUCUUGAUUUAAAAAAAAAACAAAACAACCCAACACUAUCUUUAACCAAAGAAGGAAUUGUUGGAAUCUGAUUGAAGAUCAAAGCAUGCCAUCCUUCACUUUAUUUCCUUCAUCAGUUUCUUAUUGUAUAUAUUGUCCUCAGUCAUGACAAGGAGAAUAGAGAAAUAUGCAUACCUAUACCAUACUUUUUACCACCUUGGGGGGCACAGGGACACAGAGAGACCAUCUGAACUUGUAAGUGUCAAAAAGCAAUUGUCAAAGAUUGUUUCUACAUGUAAUUGAAAAAAAUUUAAUUUUAAUUUUAAAUAAAAAAAUUAGAAGUCUCUCUUCUGUGUUUCACAUAGGGCUAAAAGUAGAAGAAUGAUGCUUAUUUGUCACAGAUAAGAUUUGUCUUAACCCAAAUACCCCUGUGCUUUUGGAAGCUUUGAUGUUGAUAUGAAAGAUAUUGAACAUGUAUCAGUUCCUUUGGCCAAAUAUCAACUCAUCAUUUGGUUGUUGUGCCGUCAGGGUACCAGCAGUUAAAAUGACAACUACAGGUGGUCUAAGAACCAUAUGACCUUCUUUCCUCUUCCCAAAUCAAGUUUGUUAUCUCUUCCACAGAAACCAAAUGGAACCCAUAAAGGGGCAAGAGCCAUUUGGUAUUCCAGUGCAUUUUAGAGAUUUCUUGUGGCCAUAAAAAUGUCUUACCUGGUGAGCAACUUUCUGAUAAUGUCUCAAAAUUACUUAACUGCUGGGUUAAAGAACAGGCACUACCUGGUUUUCUGGACCCUUCACAAUCUAUAUGCUACUGCUUAGAGCUUUCAAUAAUAGCUGACAUUUAUGUAGCACUUAGUGCUAAAUGCUUACAAUUAUUAUCUUAUUUGAUCUUCAAGAACUGAGAGUCACUUACAUAUUUCAAUUAGCUAUCAGAGGAUAGAAGGACUUUGUAGAAGUUGAUGUCUCUAGAAAAAAGGCUCUUCACCUUUUUUUCAAAAACUGGACUCCUCAGAAUAUUUUAGUUUUUUAAAUUCAUAAUUAUUGAAUAUGGAUAUAUAUGCAUAAUAUGGAUGCAUAAGGAAAAUGCUGUUAGAGUUAGUGAAAAUGAAGAUAAAAUUUUUCCCCAUCCAAUUUCAGAGUGUCCACCCCACCAAAAUCUAUCUGUAGACUCAUUGUUUAAAAUAUAUCUCUGCAAACC
Monodelphis domestica (gray short-tailed opossum) is the source of this 5406-nucleotide non-coding RNA. NCBI's taxonomy places the organism in Eukaryota, Metazoa, Chordata, Mammalia, Didelphimorphia, Didelphidae. The record is from RefSeq and is a predicted model, not a curated record.